Melitaea cinxia (Glanville fritillary) is the source of this 393-nucleotide long non-coding RNA. RefSeq lists it as uncharacterized. The record is from RefSeq and is a predicted model, not a curated record. Lineage: Eukaryota; Metazoa; Arthropoda; Insecta; Lepidoptera; Nymphalidae. The transcript has 2 exons.
AUUGAAUCUUCUGCGAGGGCAUUUUGGCUAUCUUGUCGGUUUUUAAGAUCAACUGAUACUGAAUAACAUUACAAAUCAAUUUGCCGCCUAAAGUUUUAUUAUUACAGAAUCGAAACCGAAUAAAAAACGCAUCGAUUCUUAAUGAUAUCAAAGACUGGCUUGCAAGAUGGCGAUCGAUGAACAGAGCAUCGAGCGAGCGCGUUACAACUUACGACCUUCACUCGAUAAUGGCGUCGGCGCGAGAUAUUAUUUAUCUGUGGAAGUUCUGUAUACUUCUUCCCAAUAAAUAAAGCGGUUUCCUUAUAAUGAAAAAUUAUUUUAUUUUUUACAAAAUCACUACUAUAUUAAUUCAUUAACUGUUAUAGUUCUAGUAAAUAAAAUAGUUUAAUAUUU